Non-coding RNA from Felis catus (domestic cat), 85 nucleotides. NCBI's taxonomy places the organism in Eukaryota, Metazoa, Chordata, Mammalia, Carnivora, Felidae. The record is from Rfam.
GCCUGGGUGGCUCAGUCAGUUGAGCGUCCGACUUCGGCUCGGGUCACGAUCUCACGGUUCCGGGGUUCGAGCCCCGCGUCGGGCU